Molecule: unclassified non-coding RNA, 2320 nt
Filed under: Limulus polyphemus (Atlantic horseshoe crab)
Lineage: Eukaryota; Metazoa; Arthropoda; Merostomata; Xiphosura; Limulidae
Description: translation initiation factor eIF-2B subunit gamma- like, transcript variant X1
Source: RNAcentral
GUAGUCCAAGCACUGAAUUGUAGAACUGGAAGUAUAUUGUAAUAUAAAUUAUAAGUUUAUUAUAAAAACCAAGUCAAUUGCUUACGGUAUUGAAAUCGUAGAUUUUUACGUACGUUCCUUUUAAUGUGUGUAGUAUCCAAAGCAUUGAGUUUGUAAAUUUGAUCUGUCUAUCAUGGAGUUUCAAGCAGUUGUCAUGGCAGCAGGGCGUGGGUCCCGUAUGACAGAACUAACAACAGGAUGUCCAAAGUGCCUUCUACCUGUUGGAAAUGUGCCUAUGAUUUGGUAUCCCCUAAACCUUCUAAAAAGAAAUGGUUUUCAAGAAGCCAUUGUAAUUGUACCUGAAAUGGCCAAGAACGAAGUUUCAGAAGCUCGAAUUGAUACAAAAGUGGAUAUGAAACUGGAUAUUGUAACUAUCCCAUCAUCAGAAGACUGGGGAACAGCUGAGAGUAUACGUUACAUUAAGGAUAAAAUAAAGGUUGACGUUCUGAUUAUCAGCUGUGAUCUUAUCACUGACUUUGAAUUGCAUCAAUUGGCAGAUGUAUAUCGUACCCACAGUGCUUCACUGGCCAUGUUAUUAGCUCCAGUUUCUUUAAGUUUGGUUAAUGCCCCUGCUCCUGGACAGAAAGGGAAGCAUAAAAGAGUGCGAGAUAUUGUAGGCAUUGAAUCCCACACUGGCCGUUUAAUGUUUGUGAAUUCUGAGGCAGAUUUUGAAGAAAACGUUCCUCUAAGAAAAUUCAUUUUAACAAGACACCCAGUUGUUCAGGUUCAUAGUGAUUUGAUGGAUGCCCAUCUGUAUCUGAUGAGUAAGUGGCUUGUAGACUACCUAGUUGAAAAUGAAAAUAUUACCACCAUUAAGGGUGAACUUCUACCCUCUGUUGUCAAGAAGCAGUUCUAUCACAGUAAGACAGAAGGAAAGAACGAUAUUACAAACAUGAAAGCUUCAGUGACUUCUGUGGAUCCAAAGAAAGACAUUCACUCACAUAAGAAAACAGGUGAAUGGUACGAUUUGUUAAGCGAGCUGUCAACAAGAAGUAAUCAGUGGGGGAGUUUGGAUGACUGUUACCAUGGGGAUCAAGUUCGUUGUUAUGGGUACAUCAUGAAAGAUGGGUUGUGUGUUCGGGCUAACACUUUGGGAUCGUAUGCUGAAGUUAAUAGACUGAUUCCUAAGAUAUGGGACAGUGUAACGGGUAACAGUGAGCGACCAAUAUCUGCUUCCCUUUCUCGCUCUAAGAGUCAGGGUGGAGAUGACAGUAUGAUAGGAGAAGGUACAAACAUUGCUGACAAAGUGACCAUCAAGAAAUCCAUCAUAGGAAACCACUGCCAGCUAAAGGAGAAGGUCAAAUUGUUAAACUGUGUGAUAAUGGACCAUGUGACUGUAGAAGAAGGGUCCACCCUCCAGUCCUGUAUUCUCUGUAGUAAUGCUUUUGUUGGGAAAGGCAGUGAACUUAAAGACUGUAUAGUAGGACAACAACAAAGAGUUAUGGACUUGUCUAAGUUGAGCAACGAUGUCAUCCUGGAGAUUGAAAAGUUCAUUGAAAUUUGAAAAUAGAAGUGGCUACUGUUCCUCUGUAGUUUGAGUUUCUCACGCAAAGGAUAUACCAUCAACAUAUCUACAUUCACACAACAUAUGUACCAUCAGUACCCAGAUUCACACCACUGAUAUACUAUCAAACUCCCCACAUUCACACAACACUUGUACCAUCAGUAUCCAGGUUCACACCACUGGAAUACCAUCAAAGUCCCAUUAAUGUGUGACAGUGAUGUUGCUUAGCAUUUUGAACAGGGUUAAUGGAUGUAUGAGCUAAUUACAGUGGGGAACCAUAUAAAAGAUGAAACACCCAAGGCAUAUUCCUAGGACGGCCACAAGGAGCAGGACUAACCCAACAGUAAUUCCAGCCACCACUCUCUUACUGGUACAUACAACACCUUUAUCUUGAACUGAAAGAUACACCAUAAAGAAGUCAUAGUAUUAAAAUGACAUAACAAUAUACCUUAAGUGAUUAAACAUUUUAAAUUCUUUAGCACCAGGAGUUACCUAUAAAACUUUUAAGACAAGUUUUUAUGUUAUAGGAUGAUAUUCACUACUUAGCUAUAAUUGACCUUGAACAAGUUCUUUUUUUCAUUUAAGAUCAGUCAAGGAAACAUCUGUAUCAUUGACUUUAAAGUUAGUUCUUUCUCUAUUUGUCACAAGAUGUUAUGUUUAGAACAAGUUGAGAAAAUUGGAUUUUUGCCUUUCAAUAUACUGGAAAUACAGCUCAAAAUUUAACACUUAAAACAAUGUUAACAAUAGAAAAGCUGAUAUGUGAAUGUAUGGAAAAAA